AGUCAUAACACAUGCAAGUCGAGCGCGAAAGUUCUUCGGAAUGAGUAGAGCGGCGGACGGGUGAGUAACGCGUGGGAAAUUGCCCAGUAGUGGGGGACAACAUUCGGAAACGGAUGCUAAUACCGCAUACGCCCUACGGGGGAAAGCAGGGGAUCUUCGGACCUUGUGCUAUUGGAUAUGCCCGCGUCGGAUUAGCUAGUUGGUGAGGUAAUGGCUCACCAAGGCAACGAUCCGUAGCUGGUCUGAGAGGAUGAUCAGCCACACUGGGACUGAGACACGGCCCAGACUCCUACGGGAGGCAGCAGUGGGGAAUAUUGGACAAUGGGCGCAAGCCUGAUCCAGCCAUGCCGCGUGUGUGAAGAAGGCUCUAGGGUUGUAAAGCACUUUCAGUAGGGAGGAAGGCCUUAAAGUUAAUACCUUUGAGGAUUGACGUUACCUACAGAAGAAGCACCGGCUAACUCCGUGCCAGCAGCCGCGGUAAUACGGAGGGUGCGAGCGUUAAUCGGAAUUACUGGGCGUAAAGCGCGCGUAGGCGGUUAGUUAAGCUGGAUGUGAAAGCCCCGGGCUCAACCUGGGAACUGCAUUCAGAACUGGCUGGCUAGAGUACGAGAGAGGGUAGUGGAAUUUCCUGUGUAGCGGUGAAAUGCGUAGAUAUAGGAAGGAACAUCAGUGGCGAAGGCGACUGCCUGGCUCGAUACUGACGCUGAGGU
RNAcentral lists this ribosomal RNA (710 nucleotides) under Pseudomonas sp. W399. RNAcentral describes it as "bacterial SSU rRNA". It matches the Rfam family "Bacterial small subunit ribosomal RNA", at positions 44 to 752 of the family's 1533-position model. Lineage: Bacteria; Pseudomonadati; Pseudomonadota; Gammaproteobacteria; Pseudomonadales; Pseudomonadaceae. The record is from RNAcentral.